GAUGAACGCUAGCGGCAGGCCUAAUACAUGCAAGGUCGAGGGGUAGAGGAGAGCUUGCUUUCCUUGAGACCGGCGCACGGGUGCGUAACGCGUAUGCAACCUACCUUUAUCAGGGGGAUAGCCCGAAGAAAUUCGGAUUAACACCGCAUAAAAUCACAGUAUCGCAUGAUACAAUGAUCAAAUAUUUAUAGGAUAGAGAUGGGCAUGCGUGUCAUUAGUUAGUUGGCGGGGUAACGGCCCACCAAGACCACGAUGACUAGGGGAUCUGAGAGGAUGACCCCCCCACACUGGUACUGAGACACGGACCAGACUCCUACGGGAGGCAGCAGUAAGGAAUAUUGGUCAAUGGAGGCAACUCUGAACCAGCCAUGCCGCGUGCAGGAAGACGGCCCUCUGGGUUGUAAACUGCUUUUAUUCGGGAAUAAACCUACUUACGUGUAAGUAGCUGAAUGUACCGAAGGAAUAAGGAUCGGCUAACUCCGUG
RNAcentral lists this ribosomal RNA (484 nucleotides) under uncultured bacterium. RNAcentral's name for it is "bacterial SSU rRNA". It matches the Rfam family "Bacterial small subunit ribosomal RNA", at positions 28 to 507 of the family's 1533-position model. The record is from RNAcentral.